ACAGCAGUAGCCACGGUAAUACAGAGGGUGCGAGCGUUAAUCGGAUUUACUGGGCGUAAAGCGUGCGUAGGCGGCUUUUUAAGUCGGAUGUGAAAUCCCUGAGCUUAACUUAGGAAUUGCAUUCGAUACUGGGAAGCUAGAGUAUGGGAGAGGAUGGUAGAAUUCCAGGUGUAGCGGUGAAAUGCGUAGAGAUCUGGAGGAAUACCGAUGGCGAAGGCAGCCAUCUGGCCUAAUACUGACGCUGAGGUACGAAAGCAUGGGGAGCAAACAGGAUUAGAUACCCCCGUAGUCCCUGUCUCUUAUAC
Molecule: ribosomal RNA, 305 nt
Filed under: uncultured bacterium
Lineage: Bacteria
Description: partial 16S ribosomal RNA
Rfam family: Bacterial small subunit ribosomal RNA
Source: RNAcentral